RNAcentral lists this ribosomal RNA (308 nucleotides) under Pseudoalteromonas sp. RNAcentral's name for it is "bacterial SSU rRNA". It matches the Rfam family "Bacterial small subunit ribosomal RNA", at positions 15 to 325 of the family's 1533-position model. The record is from RNAcentral. Lineage: Bacteria; Pseudomonadati; Pseudomonadota; Gammaproteobacteria; Alteromonadales; Pseudoalteromonadaceae.
GAUCCUGGCUCAGAUUGAACGCUGGCGGCAGGCCUAACACAUGCAAGUCGAGCGGUAACAGAGAGUAGCUUGCUACUUUGCUGACGAGCGGCGGACGGGUGAGUAAUGCUUGGGAACAUGCCUUGAGGUGGGGGACAACAGUUGGAAACGACUGCUAAUACCGCAUAAUGUCUACGGUCCAAAGGGGGCUUCGGCUCUCGCCUUUAGAUUGGCCCAAGUGGGAUUAGCUAGUUGGUGAGGUAAUGGCUCACCAAGGCGACGAUCCCUAGCUGGUUUGAGAGGAUGAUCAGCCACACUGGGACUGAGAC